This 855-nucleotide unclassified non-coding RNA is filed under the name Hevea brasiliensis (rubber tree). The record is from RNAcentral. Lineage: Eukaryota; Viridiplantae; Streptophyta; Magnoliopsida; Malpighiales; Euphorbiaceae.
CUUACCUUGGUCACUAAGCUGUUCUUUUGACUUCCUCAAAUGUAAUAACAAAAAUUUCUGAAUAUUUAUCCAAAGAUCAAGACUUUUUAUCAUUCUUGGGAUUAUUUGGCUUUUGCUUUGUCUUUUUUCUUUGAUUAAUUUAUCUACUUGGAUUGCUUAUUCAAUUUCUUAUCAAUGGGUGCAUAGUUAUUUUGCUAAUUACAUGAACUUGUAUUCUUACUUAGAUAGGUUUUUGGGUUCUUCUUGUUUCUUGAUUUGCUAUACUUGAAGUGGAACAAGUUCUUGAUUUUACUACUUUUUUGACUAGUGUUGUGUUUGAUAGAGAAGGGUUUGACUUUUUCUUGAUUAUUUGAUUGAAAUUAUCAAGAUCUUGUUGAUUUUGAGUGGCCAUUAUAGAGCUAUGUUUGUAAUUAUAUAAGAUAUUGAACCGUUGGGGAAGUGAAAGAUUGGAUUUUGAGAUUAGUGUCAAAUGGGGAACACUUGUGUUGGACCUAGUAUUUCUAGAAAUAGGUUCUUGCAGUCUGUUUCAGCUGCAAUGUGGCCGGCUCGGGUGCCGGAUGACUCUGGUUCCACCACUAAUGGUGGAAGUAGUAGGGGUGGAACAGUAGAAUCUGGGAAAGACCCUGAUUUGGUAGUUCAAAAUAGGGCACCUGAACAGAUGACAAUGCCUAAGUCUGAACAGAAGGAAGUGGAACCGGUGAAGAAGGAAGAGGAACCGGUAAAGCCUAAGAAGGCGGUAGAGAUGAAGAGGGUAGGUAGUGCAGGACUUAAGACUGAUUCUGUGUUACAGAAGAAAACAGGCAACUUAAAGGAGUUUUUCAGUAUAGGGAAGAAAUUAGGACAAGGACAAUUUGG